CUGAAUAACUCAGUUGAUCGCAUGGUCUCGCACCGGCGACGUAUCUUCCAAGUGUCUGCCUUAUCAACUUUUGAUGGUAGUUUAUGCGACUACCAUGGUUGUAACGGGUAACGGAGAAUCAGGGUUCGACUCCGGAGAGGGAGCCUGAGAAACGGCUACCACAUCCAAGGAAGGCAGCAGGCGCGCAAAUUACCCAAUCUCGGAACGAGGAGGUAGUGACGAUAAAUAACGAGAUGGUUCUCUAUGAGGCCCAUUAUCGGAAUGAGUACAAUUCAAACCUUUUAACGAGGAUCUACGAGAGGGCCAGUCUGGUGCCAGCAGCCGCGGUAAUUCCAGCUCUCGAAGUGUAUAUCAUUGUUGUUGCGGUUAAAAA
This 373-nucleotide ribosomal RNA is filed under the name Nematoda sp. Its description in RNAcentral is "SSU rRNA". It matches the Rfam family "Eukaryotic small subunit ribosomal RNA", at positions 252 to 625 of the family's 1831-position model. The record is from RNAcentral. Lineage: Eukaryota; Metazoa; Nematoda.